Molecule: ribosomal RNA, 324 nt
Filed under: uncultured bacterium
Lineage: Bacteria
Description: bacterial SSU rRNA
Rfam family: Bacterial small subunit ribosomal RNA
Source: RNAcentral
GAUGAACGCUGGCGGCGUGCUUAACACAUGCAAGUCGAGCGAAGCGCUUAAGUUUGAUUCUUCGGAUGAAGACUUUUGUGACUGAGCGGCGACGGGUGAGUAACGCGUGGGUAACCUGCCUCAUACAGGGGGAUAACAGUUAGAAAUGACUGCUAAUACCGCAUAAGACCACAGGGUCGCAUGGCUCUGACUGCCAAAGAUUUAUCGCUCUGAGAUGGCCUCGCGUCUGAUUAGCUAGUUGGUGGGGUAACGGCCCACCAAGGCGACGAUCAGUAGCCGGACUGAGAGGUUGGCCGGCCACAUUGGGACUGAGACACGGACCAA